RNAcentral lists this long non-coding RNA (451 nucleotides) under Phoenix dactylifera (date palm). Its description in RNAcentral is "long non-coding RNA (PDAC_LNC002806)". The record is from RNAcentral. Lineage: Eukaryota; Viridiplantae; Streptophyta; Magnoliopsida; Arecales; Arecaceae.
CCGACCAAUCGCACCAGCAUCUCCAAGGCACGUGGGAACGCAUCCGACGGCCGAGAUCGGGGAUGAGAGGCGACGUCGGCGUCACGGAGUCAAAGGGCACGAGACUUUGUCGCAUCCCCGUCCGAAAGAAUAAAACGGAAUUCGCGCAUUAAAUCCGAAAUGGCGCCGGUUCGGAAGAAUCCGUUUCCCAGGGAAGAAUCCGUUUCCCCUUCCGGCGAGCGGUAACCGCGGUUAAGUUCUGGGAAGCCUGCAAGUCAAUUGAGUUCAGUGGCCGCUCUGCGCUGCCCGCUGCGGAACUGCGUCUCAGUUUCGUACUUGUCGUCUCAGUGAUUAGAGCGGAAGUCCGGAAAACGACGAGAGCCCGAGGGCACGUCGGGACGAAAAGGAGCGGACGGCGAGGUCGACUUACAGGCCUGCUUCCCUAACGGGACAUGGGGGGAAAAGUAAGCAG